UGCGCAGGCGGUUGAUUAAGUCAGAUGUGAAAUCCCCGGGCUCAACCUGGGAAUGGCAUUUGAGACUGGUCGGCUAGAGUGUGUCAGAGGGGGGUAGAAUUCCACGUGUAGCAGUGAAAUGCGUAGAGAUGUGGAGGAAUACCGAUGGCGAAGGCAGCCCCCUGGGAUAACACUGACGCUCAGGCACGAAAGCGUGGGGAGCAAACA
This 207-nucleotide ribosomal RNA is filed under the name uncultured bacterium. Its description in RNAcentral is "partial 16S ribosomal RNA". It matches the Rfam family "Bacterial small subunit ribosomal RNA", at positions 568 to 774 of the family's 1533-position model. The record is from RNAcentral.